AACGAGAGCGUAGAGAAAGCUUGCUUUUUCUACAAUCUAGUGGCAAACGGGUGAGUAACGCGUAAACAACCUGCCCUACGGAUGGGGUCAACAGCUGGAAACGGCUGCUAAUACCGAAUACGUUCCGAAAGUCGCAUGACUGUCGGAAGAAAGGAUGGCCUCUAUUUAUAAGCUAUCGCCGGAGGAGGGGUUUGCGUCUGAUUAGCUAGUUGGAGGGGUAACGGCCCACCAAGGCGACGAUCAGUAGCCGGUCUGAGAGGAUGAACGGCCACAUUGGAACUGAGACACGGUCCAGACUCCUACGGGAGGCAGCAGUGGGGAAUCUUCCGCAAUGGGCGAAAGCCUGACGGAGCAACGCCGCGUGAGUGAAGACGGCCUUCGGGUUGUAAAGCUCUGUUAUACGGGACGAAUAAUCUUGUGGUUAAUACCCAUAAGAAGUGACGGUACCGUAAGAGAAAGCCACGGCUAACUA
This 472-nucleotide ribosomal RNA is filed under the name Megasphaera micronuciformis. RNAcentral describes it as "bacterial SSU rRNA". It matches the Rfam family "Bacterial small subunit ribosomal RNA", at positions 65 to 503 of the family's 1533-position model. The record is from RNAcentral. Lineage: Bacteria; Bacillati; Bacillota; Negativicutes; Veillonellales; Veillonellaceae.